This 245-nucleotide ribosomal RNA is filed under the name uncultured bacterium. RNAcentral describes it as "partial 16S ribosomal RNA". It matches the Rfam family "Bacterial small subunit ribosomal RNA", at positions 524 to 768 of the family's 1533-position model. The record is from RNAcentral.
UACGUAGGGGGCUAGCGUUGUCCGGAAUUACUGGGUGUAAAGGGCGUGUAGGCGGGAUAUUAAGUCAGAUGUGAAACCCCAAGGCUCAACUUUGGAACUGCAUCUGAAACUAAUAUUCUUGAGUGGAGGAGAGGAAAGCGGAAUUCCCAGUGUAGCGGUGAAAUGCGUAGAUAUUGGGAGGAACACCAGUGGCGAAGGCGGCUUUCUGGACUUUAACUGACGCUGAGGCGCGAAAGCGUGGGGAG